GAUGAACGCUGGCGGCGUGCCUAAUACAUGCAAGUCGAGCGAACAGACGAGGAGCUUGCUCCUCUGACGUUAGCGGCGGACGGGUGAGUAACACGUGGAUAACCUACCUAUAAGACUGGGAUAACUUCGGGAAACCGGAGCUAAUACCGGAUAAUAUAUUGAACCGCAUGGUUCAAUGGUGAAAGACGGUUUUGCUGUCACUUAUAGAUGGAUCCGCGCCGCAUUAGCUAGUUGGUAAGGUAACGGCUUGCCAAGGCAACGAUGCGUAGCCGACCUGAGAGGGUGAUCGGCCACACUGGAACUGAGACACGGUCCAGACUCCUACGGGAGGCAGCAGUAGGGAAUCUUCCGCAAUGGGCGAAAGCCUGACGGAGCAACGCCGCGUGAGUGAUGAAGGUCUUCGGAUCGUAAAACUCUGUUAUUAGGGAAGAACAAAUGUGUAAGUAACUAUGCACGUCUUGACGGUACCUAAUCAGAAAGCCACGGCUAACUACGUG
Molecule: ribosomal RNA, 497 nt
Filed under: uncultured bacterium
Lineage: Bacteria
Description: partial 16S ribosomal RNA
Rfam family: Bacterial small subunit ribosomal RNA
Source: RNAcentral